UAGGGAAUAUUGCACAAUGGGGGAAACCCUGAUGCAGCGACGCCGCGUGAGUGAUGAAGGCCUUCGGGUCGUAAAGCUCUGUCGUAUGGGACUAACAAAAUGAAGGUACCAUGCAAGAAAGGAUCGGCUAACUUCGUGCCAGCAGCCGCGGUAAGACGAGGGAUCCUAGCGUCGUUCGGAAUUAUUGGGCGUAAAGCGGGUGUAGGCGGACUUAUAAGUCAGGUGUGAAAUCCCAGGGCUCAACCCUGGAAGUGCACUUGAUACUGCAAGUCUUGAGUGUGGUAGAGGCUAUUAGAAUUCCUAGUGUAGAGGUGAAAUUCGUAGAUAUUAGGAAGAACACCAGUGGCGAAGGCGGCUCACUGGAUCGGUACUGACGCUGAGGUGCGAAAGCGUGGGGAGCAAACAGGAUUAGAUACCCCCGUAGUCCCUGAGCGGGCUGGCAAGGCGCAU
RNAcentral lists this ribosomal RNA (450 nucleotides) under uncultured bacterium. Its description in RNAcentral is "bacterial SSU rRNA". It matches the Rfam family "Bacterial small subunit ribosomal RNA", at positions 355 to 825 of the family's 1533-position model. The record is from RNAcentral.